Long non-coding RNA from Aquila chrysaetos chrysaetos, 645 nucleotides. NCBI's taxonomy places the organism in Eukaryota, Metazoa, Chordata, Aves, Accipitriformes, Accipitridae. The record is from Ensembl.
CCGUGCCCAGCGGCUUGGUGACGGGUGUCCUGCUUUGCUCCCGCGGGCGCUGCGGGACUGACCCUGCACCCAGAGCACCAGCUUUUGGCAGAGCUGGGCUGGUUGUGGAAGGGAACCCCGCCAGCUCUGCCGCAGCACAGAGAUCCCGCGGCGGUCACAGCUGUGGUGGGUGUCUAGCUCAAAAUACAAAUUAUCCGGAGCGAUGCAAGGGGAGACGGAGCCAGGCCAGACCCGGCUCCUGUCCUUGUGUUUGUCCCUGUUGCAAGGAGGUGCCUCUGUCCUGUGGCCUUCUGAUUCCCGAGCUGUGACCUCACGUGAAACCGCUUGUAUCUUGCGUGUCUUCUGGACAAAUAAAGACCCCCGUGAUCCUUUUUCUUUCUUCCCUUGUGAAAUGGGAAGGUCCUCCUUCCCGCGCCAUGUUGCAGCGAAGCUUCUUGAGGGCGGUGGCGGCCGGUUCCUCUUCGCUUCUUCUCCCCCGUCGCUGAACGAGGGAAAGCUGCGGCGUGAGGACAUGGCUGCGGACCGGCAGGACACCCCCCCCUUGCUGUGCAGGAGGAGGAGGAAGGUGUGAGUGGAGGUACGGGUGGUUCCUGUGUCCGGCUGGGUGGGCUGCCUGCGUGUGAGCUGCUGGUCUUACUGAUCUGG